Molecule: microRNA precursor, 94 nt
Organism: Chlorocebus sabaeus (green monkey)
Lineage: Eukaryota; Metazoa; Chordata; Mammalia; Primates; Cercopithecidae
Source: Ensembl
GCCAGGCGUGGUGGGGUGCGCCUGUGAUCCCAACUACUCAGGAGGCUGGGGCAAGAGAAUCGCUUGAACCCGGGAGGCGAAAGUUGCAGUGAGC